CAGCAGCCACGGUAAUACGUAGGUGGCAAGCGUUGUCCGGAAUUAUUGGGCGUAAAGGGCUCGCAGGCGGUUUCUUAAGUCUGAUGUGAAAGCCCCCGGCUCAACCGGGGAGGGUCAUUGGAAACUGGGAAACUUGAGUGCAGAAGAGGAGAGUGGAAUUCCACGUGUAGCGGUGAAAUGCGUAGAUAUAUGGAGGAACACCGGUGGCGAAAGCGGCUCUCUGGUCUGUAACUGACGCUGAGGAGCGAAAGCGUGGGGAGCGAACAGGAUUAGAUACCCGCGUAGUCCCUGUCUCUUAUAC
This 301-nucleotide ribosomal RNA is filed under the name uncultured bacterium. RNAcentral's name for it is "partial 16S ribosomal RNA". It matches the Rfam family "Bacterial small subunit ribosomal RNA", at positions 509 to 807 of the family's 1533-position model. The record is from RNAcentral.